RNAcentral lists this ribosomal RNA (249 nucleotides) under uncultured Bacillota bacterium. RNAcentral describes it as "uncultured Firmicutes bacterium partial 16S ribosomal RNA". It matches the Rfam family "Bacterial small subunit ribosomal RNA", at positions 796 to 1041 of the family's 1533-position model. The record is from RNAcentral. Lineage: Bacteria; Bacillati; Bacillota.
CACGCCGUAAACGAUGAAUACUAGGUGUAGGAGGUAUCGACCCCUUCUGUGCCGCAGCUAACGCAAUAAGUAUUCCGCCUGGGGAGUACGUUCGCAAGAAUGAAACUCAAAGGAAUUGACGGGGGCCCGCACAAGCGGUGGAGCAUGUGGUUUAAUUCGACGCAACGCGAAGAACCUUACCAAGUCUUGACAUCCACUAAAUCCCGCAGAAACGUGGGAGUGCCCUUCGGGGAAUAGUGAGACAGGUGG